Long non-coding RNA from Artibeus jamaicensis (Jamaican fruit-eating bat), 3331 nucleotides. RefSeq lists it as uncharacterized. Lineage: Eukaryota; Metazoa; Chordata; Mammalia; Chiroptera; Phyllostomidae. The record is from RefSeq and is a predicted model, not a curated record. The transcript is spliced from 3 exons.
UGGGGCAAGCCCAGGCAAAGCUGAGCAGCACAGUGCAUGUGGACCGCAGACCAAGCCAGCAUCUGGUGAUUCCCUUUGGGGAAAUAGAACCAUGCCGAGAAUUGGGGAGCUGCCAGUGGGAAAUUCACACAGGUGAAUGCAACAGGACACAUCUGAAUGGCUUGAAGAAGCUGAGGUCAGAAAAAUGCACUUGUGCAACUGAAAGAGAUCAUCUAGCCCCAGACAGGCUGUUUUCUUUUUUCCCUACAAUGGAAUCAAACUCUGUCACUUCAGACAUGGUGCCAGUGAGACCAGCCCUUCAGAUAAGCAGAGUCAGUGCCCAUUGAGUUAAUGUGACUUGAGAGGAGCCAAAAAGCCUGCCUGCCAAGGUGCCUAAGGUUUCAACCAUGUAAGUCACUCCAGUGAAUGGGACGUCGCUUUUCCAAAAUGCUCCUGUCACAAGUGCUAAUGCAGGCCUAGCGCAGCGCUCAGGCCAUCACAGCCACUCAAUGUUUAUUGAACGAAUGAAAGAAUGAUUGUUUCCUGUGAAGGAUAAUAAGCUGUGAUUAUAUUGGGUGGACUAUAUGCCAAAAAUAUAUUCAGUGAUGGAAAUUGGAUAACAGCCAGCAAAAUAUCUGCGAACUCAAAAUAUUUUGCCCAAGUUUGACCAAAGAUUUAAAAAAAAACUCUCAUUUGAUCCAUAGGAAUAUAUUAACUUUGAUUUAAAAUUGUAUGAAUGAUCAAGUUAUCUAUAAUAAAUUCUACCAUUCAUUCACAUUUCACAUAACAAACAUUUAUUGAGCAGUUAGUAAGUGUGAGAUACAUGCCAGAACUGGGGCAAGAGCAGCGAACCAGGUAGACACAGCCCUGACUUCAUUCAAUCUGCUGUCCUCUAAGGAAAGGGACAUUAAAAAAUCAUCUUUCAUUAUAAUUGUGACAAGUAUGCACAAGGAAAACAGAUUAAAUGCAUGGGAAACAGAUUAAUGGAAACCCAAGCCAGCACAGGAAAGUCAGGAAAAGACUCUCUGAGGAAGUAACAUUGAAGAGGCUUGGAGACUGGGGAAGAGUUAGCCAGAUAGAAGAAGAUCAGUGUGGGGAAGAAGGAGUGUAUUUGGGAGCUUUAAGUUACCUACAAGUCAAAUAAAACCCAGAGCAAAUUUGCUCAAGACACUAAAAGGUGUUAAUGUGAUAGCUUCCAGCACAGUUUGUCCAAGGCUCUGCUUUUGUUUCUUUGAGUCUGUUUUGCCAAUUUUUAUAUGUUGGUUUCAGUCCCUCAGUUUUUAUUAUGAUAAUGUGUACCAACAACAGCCAGGGUUUUUAUUCACUUUCAAGGGUUCCCUCUUUAUGCUUAUUAGGCUACCACAAACCAUUUCUUCUAACCAGUGGAUGCCUCUUGGCUGACUUAGGACUUUGUUACCUGAAUCAGUCAUUCUGGUAAAAAAAAAAAUGAGUGGGAUUUGUGCCCUCUUGGUCCCCAGAGUGGGUCUCUUACAUCCAAAUUUUAUGGCUGCUACACGUAGGAGAGCUCUGUGAGUGUGUGGAGAAGGCAACCACAAUUUCCAUCAAGGCAGAAAACUAUUCUGAUCAAAGACAGAAAUGUGUUCAAAGAACCUUAGGUGAUUAGCUUAGAUGUUUUAGGAUCUGAUAUAAAUCUCAUGCGAAAAGCAGAAAAUUAAGAGAAAUAAGACAGGGCUGCAGUCAGGGAUGGGCCAGAUCUUGCAGGGGCUUGAAUUCCAUGUUAAAAAUUUUUGGACAUUUUAUUAAGGUUAAUGUAAAGUUUCUGUUGUAUGUCAUGAUCAAAUUCAUAUUAAAAAAAACAUAUGUAGAACUCUGACCAGUGUGGCUCAGUUGGUUAGGAGUCAUUCCUAGAGCAAAAGUCGCCAGUCUGAUUCCCAGUCAGGGCACAUGCCUGGGGUGCAGGGUCAGUCCAGUCAGGGUGUUAAGAGAAGCAACCAAUCAAUGUUUCUUUCUCACAUUGAUGUUUCUCUCCUUCUCUUUCUCCCUCCCUUCCCCUAUCUCUAAUAAUAACUUUUUUUAAGUUAAAAAAUAAAAAACCAUUCAUGAAUAAAAGGAAAAAUUUCAUCAUAUAUAUUUUAUACAUGUAUGUAUAAACAUAGACUAUCUAUGAAUAUAUAUGACAAGUUGGUAGAUGUAGUUGCUCAUAGGAAGAGGUCCUUGGGAACUAGAGGACUGACUUAGUACAGAAACUUUUCAUCGCAUUCACUUUUGAACUUGCCUCCUUUUUUUUAACCCACAUUCAUACACUGUUUUUACACUGAAAACUACAGCACAAUAAAUUCGUUGAUUUAACUGAAUACUCUCUCUGCCCACUAUAUGUACGGAAAAACUGAAGGUGGGGAAGAGUAAAAAAAAGUAGGCAAGACAGGAGGCUCCUGCAACUGGCCAGGCAGGAGAAAUUCAUCACUUGGCUUCUGAAGGUACAGAAACAGAAUUUGAGCCCAGUCACCUAUAACUGAGGAUCCUGCCCUUAUCCAUCCCCUUAGCUGAGCUCUGUAUUCCUAUGGGUGGUACGCAGAGGUAAAGCAGAAUGAAAUAGCUGCGGAGCCAAAGCUAUUUCUGAGCAUGCGAUGCAAUAUGGGGAGGAGGUCUCAGAAAAAGCCAGAACCCAUUCCUAUGAUUAUAAGAGGAUGAUGGGAGCUUGGGGAAAGGGGACAAGUUUUUAUUUGUGCAGAGCUGCAAACUUAAUCGAUUUACCUGAGCUACUGAUAUCCCCAGCUGUAAAAUUAUGCAAAUGUAACACCUCUGAAAAUGAGACUCUGCAUCUGAGUUGAACUCUUGAGAUCCCAGAUUGUGGAAUGGGGGCCUUGAAUCCUCUCUGGCAGGCAGUCCACACCGAACAACAAAAUGGGAAGCUUCAGCCAGCUUUCACCCCGCAAGCUGACUUCAUGUCUGAGCUGGGCAGAGUUGAACUGAAUGAUAUGUAAUGUGUUCACACAGCUAGCACGAGUAAAUAAAUGAUUACCAAAAAGGAUGAAUGAAUGUUAGUAGCAAUUUUAGCAAUAAUUAUGCACAGUUACAAGAAAUAAAAUGAAUUUUGGGAGAACACAACACCCAGUCCAUUGCAACAGGAGACUCUGCAUGUACAUCGUGCCUCUGUCUCACUGUAUUUAAUCCUCCCCAUCUCACAAUUCACAUCCUCCAUAAACUCCUGUUCUUAUCCCGCAGAUGGGAUGAAACUAUGCCUCUUGAACAUCUUAUCACUUCAUGAUACUUCCUUUAUUUUAUUAAUGGGUACCCUACAGCUUAGUGCUAACAAGCAAGCGAUCUGGAAAUUGAGUUCAAGCUCUUGGUCUACCAUUUCCUACCUUUACUAGUUAUGUGGCCUUGGGCA